AGAGUUUGAUCCUGGCUCAGGAUGAACGCUAGCGGCAGGCCUAAUACAUGCAGGUCGGACGGGAUAGGAGAGCUUGCUUUCCUUGAGAGUGGCGCACGGGUGCGUAACACGUAUGUAACCUACCUUGUUCAGGGGGAUAGCCUCUCGAAAGAGAGAUUAAGACCGCAUAACAUCAUCAUUCAGCAUUGGGAGAUGAUCAAAUAUUUAUAGGAACAAGAUGGGCAUGCGGAACAUUAGCUAGUUGGUAAGGUAACGGCUUACCAAGGCUACGAUGUUUAGGGGAUCUGAGAGGAUGACCCCCCACACUGGUACUGAGACACGGACCAGACUCCUACGGGAGGCAGCAGUAAGGAAUAUUGGUCAAUGGAGGCAACUCUGAACCAGCCAUGCCGCGUGCAGGAAGACGGCCCUACGGGUUGUAAACUGCUUUUAUACCGGAAUAAACCUUGAUACGUGUAUCGAGCUGAAUGUACGGUAAGAAUAAGGAUCGGCUAACUCCGUGCCAGCAGCCGCGGUAAUACGGAGGAUCCAAGCGUUAUCCGGAUUUAUUGGGUUUAAAGGGUGCGUAGGUGGCUCAUUAAGUCAGGGGUGAAAGACGGUAGCUUAACUAUCGCAGUGCCUUUGAUACUGUUGAGCUUGAAUGAACUAGAGGUAGGCGGAAUGUGACAAGUAGCGGUGAAAUGCAUAGAUAUGUCACAGAACACCAAUUGCGAAGGCAGCUUACUAUGGUUUGAUUGACACUGAGGCACGAAAGCGUGGGGAUCAAACAGGAUUAGAUACCCUGGUAGUCCACGCC
Molecule: ribosomal RNA, 796 nt
Filed under: uncultured bacterium
Lineage: Bacteria
Description: bacterial SSU rRNA
Rfam family: Bacterial small subunit ribosomal RNA
Source: RNAcentral